AUGGAACGUAAAAAACAAUGGUUUGACACACUGAAAAAUGAAAUUAGCAACAGUCCUCUUGUGUCAAAUGUGGCUUUUGGUUUUAUCCUCAUGGGACUAGAGAAGCUGGUGGAGCUGGAGUUUCAGUGUCCUUGCAAUCCUAAAUGGAACGGACUGUUUUCAUCAGCAUUCUUCAUCAUUCCCGCCAUCAUGGCCUUCAUCUUGAUGUUGAUCAUUCAAGGAUGCAGAUGGGAUGAGUGGUUCAAGAAGACUGUGUCCAGUUCCGUGCCUGCUAUCGUGUGGCUGAUCUCGUUGUUCCUCGACGGCCAGUACUUCGCCUGUGCUAUGACAGACUGGGAGGGUAGAUUUGUACUCGUUGACAAGGCAGCUCCACAGAAGUGGUGUAAGCCAAUUAGUGAAGGAAAUUUCACCACACAAGAGCUGAUGCUCCGCUCACAAGAGUGGAUUUUUAAGUCUCAGAACACAAAACAUCGUACUAGAGCAGCAAAGGUCAUGAGAAUGAGCAGCGUGAUUCCAGCUAGAAGAGCAUCACGUCUACAGAGUGAUAGGAAUACCAGGGCAGCCUGUAGGACUCAGUCCUCAGGUGAGCUGCACCUUCUGUGUCUCAUGACAAACUCUAUCCAGAAGAGGGCGCUGUCCAUUGGCUUUAUCGGCGCGUCUCUGUGCAGUCUGGAGAGCCUCUGCAUGUUCAUCCUGUAGGAGGGAUCGUUCAAAACUCUCUUCACAGCUGCCAGGAAGUUGUCGUCCUUGUCCACAGUCCUAAGGCUCAGAAUCUCAGCUCCUCCUCUCUCUUUCAGACGCAAGCAGGUUGUCAUAUUGGUCAAAAAACCACAGGUAGACUACAACUGGGACUCCAUGAUACAUAGCUUCCUGAACUCCGUUCGUUCCUCCGUGAGCCACAAACAGUUUUGUUUUGGGAUGUCCUAAGAGAUCAUUCUGAGGCAUCCAGUCCACCAGUAAAGUGUUGUUUGCCCAGAGUUUGCUGGUCUGUCCCCUUCAUGUUUCCAGAUGAUCUUCUGAGGCAAUUAGCAAAAGCUGCAGCCGA
This 1045-nucleotide long non-coding RNA is filed under the name Takifugu rubripes (torafugu). Its description in RNAcentral is "lncRNA (ENSTRUG00000027616.1)". Lineage: Eukaryota; Metazoa; Chordata; Actinopteri; Tetraodontiformes; Tetraodontidae. The record is from RNAcentral.